GAUGAACGCUGGCGGCGUGCCUAAUACAUGCAAGUCGAGCGAACGGACGAGAAGCUUGCUUCUCUGAUGUUAGCGGCGGACGGGUGAGUAACACGUGGAUAACCUACCUAUAAGACUGGGAUAACUUCGGGAAACCGGAGCUAAUACCGGAUAAUAUUUUGAACCGCAUGGUUCAAAAGUGAAAGACGGUCUUGCUGUCACUUAUAGAUGGAUCCGCGCUGCAUUAGCUAGUUGGUAAGGUAACGGCUUACCAAGGCAACGAUGCAUAGCCGACCUGAGAGGGUGAUCGGCCACACUGGAACUGAGACACGGUCCAGACUCCUACGGGAGGCAGCAGUAGGGAAUCUUCCGCAAUGGGCGAAAGCCUGACGGAGCAACGCCGCGUGAGUGAUGAAGGUCUUCGGAUCGUAAAACUCGGUUAUUAGGGAAGAACAUAUGUGUAAGUAACUGUGCACAUCUUGACGGUACCUAAUCAGAAAGCCACGGCUAACUACGUG
Molecule: ribosomal RNA, 497 nt
Filed under: uncultured bacterium
Lineage: Bacteria
Description: partial 16S ribosomal RNA
Rfam family: Bacterial small subunit ribosomal RNA
Source: RNAcentral